Molecule: transfer RNA, 72 nt
Filed under: Ignavibacteriota bacterium
Lineage: Bacteria; Pseudomonadati; Ignavibacteriota
Also listed under: 3 other names
Description: tRNA-Arg
Rfam family: tRNA
About the family: Transfer RNA (tRNA) molecules are approximately 80 nucleotides in length. Their secondary structure includes four short double-helical elements and three loops (D, anti-codon, and T loops).
Source: RNAcentral
GCCCCCGUAGUUCAAUGGAUAGAACACAAGCCUCCGGAGCUUGUAAUGUGGGUUCGACUCCCGCCGGGGGUA